CCUACGGGAGGCAGCAGUGAGGAAUAUUGGUCAAUGGCCGGAAGGCUGAACCAGCCAAGCCGCGUGAAGGACGACGGUGCUAAGGGUUGUAAACUUCUUUUGUCGGGGGGCAAAGUCAGGCUCGAGUGGCUGAUUGAGGGUACUUGAAGAAAAAGCAUCGGCUAACUCCGUGCCAGCAGCCGCGGUAAUACGGAGGAUGCGAGCGUUAUCCGGAUUUAUGGGGUUUAAAGGGUGCGUAGGCGGAGGUUUAAGUCAGCGGUAAAAUUCCGGGGCUCAACCCCGGCCUGCCGUUGAAACUGGAUGCCUUGAGUGGGCGAGAGGUAUGCGGAAUGCGCGGUGUAGCGGUGAAAUGCAUAGAUAUCACGCAGAACUCCGAUUGCGAAGGCAGCAUACCGGCGGGGAACUGACGCUGAGGCACGAAAGCGUGGGUAUCGAACAGGAUUAGAUACCCCAGUAGUC
RNAcentral lists this ribosomal RNA (459 nucleotides) under uncultured bacterium. RNAcentral describes it as "partial 16S ribosomal RNA". It matches the Rfam family "Bacterial small subunit ribosomal RNA", at positions 338 to 795 of the family's 1533-position model. The record is from RNAcentral.